CUUAACCUGGGAACUGCAUUUGUGACUGGCGGGCUAGAGUAUGGCAGAGGGGGGUAGAAUUCCACGUGUAGCAGUGAAAUGCGUAGAGAUGUGGAGGAAUACCGAUGGCGAAGCAGCCCCUGGGCCAAUACUGACGCUCAUGCACGAAAGCGUGGGGAGCCAACAGGAUUAGAUACCCUGGUAGUCCACGCCCUAACGAUGUCAACUAGUUGUCGGGUCUUCAUUGACUUGGUACCGUAGCUAACGCGUGAAGUUGACCGCCUGGGGAGUACGGUCGCAAGAUUAAAACUCAAAGGAAUUGACGGCGACCCGCACAAGCGGUGGAUGAUGUGGAUUAAUUCGAUGCAACGCGAAAAACCUUACCUACCCUUGACAUGGUCCGGACCCUGCUGAAAGGCGGGGGUGCCCGAAAGGGAACUGAUACACAGGUGCUGCAUGGCUGUCGUCAGCUCGUGUCGUGAGAUGUUGGGUUAAGUCCCGCAACGAGCGCAACCCUUGUCCCUAGUUGCUACGCAAGAGCACUCCAGGGAGACUGCCGGUGACAAACCGGAGGAAGGUGGGGAUGACGUCAAGUCCUCAUGGCCCUUAUGGGUAGGGCUUCACACGUCAUACAAUGGUCGGAACAGAGG
Molecule: ribosomal RNA, 629 nt
Filed under: uncultured Burkholderia sp.
Lineage: Bacteria; Pseudomonadati; Pseudomonadota; Betaproteobacteria; Burkholderiales; Burkholderiaceae
Description: bacterial SSU rRNA
Rfam family: Bacterial small subunit ribosomal RNA
Source: RNAcentral